Molecule: long non-coding RNA, 782 nt
Filed under: Salmo salar (Atlantic salmon)
Lineage: Eukaryota; Metazoa; Chordata; Actinopteri; Salmoniformes; Salmonidae
Description: lncRNA (ENSSSAG00000090375.1, ENSSSAG00075066450.1)
Source: RNAcentral
ACGUGAAAUGUUACAUACACAGCUGGACAAGAUGGAAACGGACACAGUGACAGUGCACACCAAGGAAGAGAGGCCACAGAUAGACAGAGCUGAAACUUCACUGCUUGACAUGUAUGAUGAAAUCCUGGUUGAGAAUGAAAUGACUGAACAAAUGAGCAACAAAACAGCACAGCAAGUGGACUCCAAUCAAGUUGUAGAAACAGCUCAAGGAUGAUCAAUGGAAACAGGAUGCACCAUGUAAAUAAGGAAAUCCAAAUGGCAGCCGUAUGAUUACAAUGGCCACCCUGGCUGACUGACAGGCUUCCAGACUGCCGCCAAAUCUUUGAAAUGUUCCUUAUAGUAUUUAGUAUUAGUGUACCAAGAUUGAUAGUUGUAUUAUAAAAUGCAUGACUAUUUCACCUACCGGUGGACUAAUCCAUGUAAUCUUAUUCAUGCACUAUAAGAUCAGCACUCAUACUCUGAGACGCUGCAAUUCAAAUGUAAAAUCUAGUUAUGAAUAUGAGGCAAAAGUACAGAAUGUCACCUUUAGCUGGACGUAGUUUUAUGCUUCUUUUCUUAAUUGAGCUUAGCCCCCCUUCCAUAAGUAGUUGGACAUCAGUUUAAAAUAAAUGUAUGUACUACAAAGGUUAGUAUUUGGUUGCAAAUCCCUUAUCAAAAGAACUGCACCAAGCCUGGCUGCAACCCAUUUACUUUACUGAGGGCUUGUGACGUAUAUGAUCAUCAUGUCAUGAUGUUAGAUCUCGUAGCAACACCUAGCUUCACAAAUCAUGAUGUUGAAAGAU